UACGAGGGGGGCAAGCGUUGUUCGGAUUUAUUGGGCGUAAAGGGUGCGUAGGCGGUUUGGCAAGUCUGAUGUGAAAUCUCUGGGCUUAACCCAGAGGCUGCUUUCAAAACUGCCGUGCUCGAGUGCGAGAGAGGUCAGUGGAAUUGCAGGUGUAGCGGUGAAAUGCGUAGAUAUCUGCAGGAACACCCGUGGCGAAGGCGGCUGACUGGAUCGCAACUGACGCUGAGGAACGAAAGCUAGGGGAGCAAACAGG
RNAcentral lists this ribosomal RNA (253 nucleotides) under uncultured bacterium. Its description in RNAcentral is "partial 16S ribosomal RNA". It matches the Rfam family "Bacterial small subunit ribosomal RNA", at positions 524 to 776 of the family's 1533-position model. The record is from RNAcentral.